Molecule: ribosomal RNA, 324 nt
Filed under: uncultured eukaryote
Lineage: Eukaryota
Description: partial 18S ribosomal RNA
Rfam family: Eukaryotic small subunit ribosomal RNA
Source: RNAcentral
CCCUUAGAUGUCCUGGGCUGCACGCGCGCUACACUGAUGUGUCCAGUAAGCACCUAACCUCUUCCGAAAGGAACGGGUAACCUUUGCAAAGCACAUCGUGAUGGGGAUAGAUUAUUGCAAUUAUUAGUCUUGAACGAGGAAUUCCUAGUAAGCACAAGUCAUCAGCUUGUGUUGAUUACGUCCCUGCCCUUUGUACACACCGCCCGUCGCUCCUACCGAUUGAAUGUUCCGGGGAGCUCUUCGGACUGCGCGGUCUGCAGUUUCUGCGUUCCGUGCGGAAAGUUGCGCAAACCUUAACAUUUAGAGGAAGGAGAAGUCGUAACA